UACGUAGGUGGCAAGCGUUGUCCGGAUUUAUUGGGCGUAAAGGGUACGUAGGCGGAUAAGCAAGUUAGAAGUGAAAUCCUAUAGCUCAACUAUAGUAAGCUUUUAAAACUGUUUAACUUGAGAGAUGGAAGGGAAAGUGGAAUUCCUAGUGUAGCGGUGAAAUGCGCAGAUAUUAGGAGGAAUACCGGUGGCGAAGGCGACUUUCUGGCCAUAAACUGACGCUGAGGUACGAAAGCGUGGGUAGCAAACAGG
This 252-nucleotide ribosomal RNA is filed under the name uncultured bacterium. Its description in RNAcentral is "partial 16S ribosomal RNA". It matches the Rfam family "Bacterial small subunit ribosomal RNA", at positions 524 to 776 of the family's 1533-position model. The record is from RNAcentral.